RNAcentral lists this ribosomal RNA (546 nucleotides) under uncultured bacterium. RNAcentral describes it as "partial 16S ribosomal RNA". It matches the Rfam family "Bacterial small subunit ribosomal RNA", at positions 355 to 885 of the family's 1533-position model. The record is from RNAcentral.
UGGGGAAUAUUGCACAAUGGGCGCAAGCCUGAUGCAGCCAUGCCGCGUGUGUGAAGAAGGCCUUCGGGUUGUAAAGCACUUUCAGCGAGGAGGAAGGUGGUGAGCUUAAUACGCUCAUCAAUUGACGUUACUCGCAGAAGAAGCACCGGCUAACUCCGUGCCAGCAGCCGCGGUAAUACGGAGGGUGCAAGCGUUAAUCGGAAUUACUGGGCGUAAAGCGCACGCAGGCGGUUUGUUAAGUCAGAUGUGAAAUCCCCGGGCUCAACCUGGGAACUGCAUUUGAAACUGGCAAGCUAGAGUCUCGUAGAGGGGGGUAGAAUUCCAGGUGUAGCGGUGAAAUGCGUAGAGAUCUGGAGGAAUACCGGUGGCGAAGGCGGCCCCCCUGGACGAAGACUGACGCUCAGGUGCGAAAAGGCGUGGGGGCAGCAAAACAGGAUUAGAUACCCUGGUAGUCCACGCUGUAAACGAUGUCGAUUUUGGAGGUUGUGCCCCUUGAGGCGUGGCUUCCGGAGCUAACGCGUUAAAUCGACCGCCUGGGGAGUACGG